Onthophagus taurus is the source of this 371-nucleotide non-coding RNA. The record is from RefSeq and is a predicted model, not a curated record. Lineage: Eukaryota; Metazoa; Arthropoda; Insecta; Coleoptera; Scarabaeidae.
GUCAAGGACAUGACUGACAAGAACUUGCUUAAGGACUAAUAGUUCGAAGUGAUUUCGAACCUGUUUCUGAAGAAGGUUGCAGCAUGGCAUCAGAAACGUCAAAUACUUUUUCAAAAGAUGCACGACUUAAUCCGAAAAUUUCCAGUUCAAGCGUCAAUUCUAAGCAGAGUUGGUUACGAACCGUGCCUACCAAGGUUGGCAAGAGACAGCAGAACUAAAACGCGUUUUGAAGGGAAAGGAGGGGGUGACGUCACGAGUUACGAAGCAGUGGGAGCAAGAGAUUGAAACGAAGUGACUUAUCUCAAAUAUACUGCUUUUUCUAAUUAAACACUCUGAUUAUGAAAGUUAUGUAUUUUUCUUUUCUUAUUAUU